UACGGAGGAUCCGAGCGUUAUCCGGAUUUAUUGGGUUUAAAGGGUGCGUAGGCGGUUUGAUAAGUUAGAGGUGAAAUGUCGGGGCUCAACCCCGAAACUGCCUCUAAUACUGUUGGACUAGAGAAUAGUUGCGGUAGGCGGAAUGUAUGGUGUAGCGGUGAAAUGCUUAGAGAUCAUACAGAACACCGAUUGCGAAGGCAGCUUACCAAACUAUAUCUGACGUUGAGGCACGGAAGCGUGGGGAGCAAAUAGG
This 253-nucleotide ribosomal RNA is filed under the name uncultured bacterium. RNAcentral describes it as "partial 16S ribosomal RNA". It matches the Rfam family "Bacterial small subunit ribosomal RNA", at positions 524 to 776 of the family's 1533-position model. The record is from RNAcentral.